This 73-nucleotide transfer RNA is filed under the name Halosimplex rubrum. Its description in RNAcentral is "tRNA-Gln". It matches the Rfam family "tRNA". Rfam says of the family: Transfer RNA (tRNA) molecules are approximately 80 nucleotides in length. Their secondary structure includes four short double-helical elements and three loops (D, anti-codon, and T loops). The record is from RNAcentral. Lineage: Archaea; Methanobacteriati; Methanobacteriota; Halobacteria; Halobacteriales; Haloarculaceae.
AGUCCCGUGGUGUAGUGGCCAAUCAUAGUGGCCUUUGGAGCCACUGACAACGGUUCGAAUCCGUUCGGGACUA